RNAcentral lists this ribosomal RNA (366 nucleotides) under uncultured organism. RNAcentral's name for it is "bacterial SSU rRNA". It matches the Rfam family "Bacterial small subunit ribosomal RNA", at positions 526 to 896 of the family's 1533-position model. The record is from RNAcentral.
CGGAGGAUCCAAGCGUUAUCCGGAAUCAUUGGGUUUAAAGGGUCCGUAGGCGGUCCUGUAAGUCAGUGGUGAAAGCCCAUCGCUCAACGGUGGAACGGCCAUUGAUACUGCAGGACUUGAAUUACUGGGAAGCAACUAGAAUAUGUAGUGUAGCGGUGAAAUGCUUAGAGAUUACAUGGAAUACCAGUUGCGAAGGCAGGUUGCUACCGGUGGAUUGACGCUGAUGGACGAAAGCGUGGGUAGCGAACAGGAUUAGAUACCCUGGUAGUCCGCGCCGUAAACGAUGGAUACUAGCUGUUGGGAGCGAUCUCAGUGGCUAAGCGAAAGUGAUAAGUAUCCCACCUGGGGAGUACGAACGCAAGUUUG